UUUUCAUGUUUAUUUUUGACCUUCAUUAUCAACAUCACACAAUAUUUUAGCAUAUUUUAACUUCACGAAUUUGACUUUCAACAUCUUGGAUCCUAAAGAAAACAGUUCAUUGUUCUCAAAGCACAUCUGGAAAAAGAAAGAUACAGAUUUUGUAUGGUGACUGAAGGAGGAUAAAAUGAAGUACAACAUUAAUUGGUCCAUAGUAAGGUAUGCAAAACCAUACAAUAUAAUUUCCAGGAGAUGCCAUCUCUGCUCCGAGGAUUCUCUGUCUAUUCUGUGGACUAACGAGAAGGUGGGAAAUGAAAAACAUCUGUAGAACGACAUUCCAUUCCAAGCACAGAUGUUUUGUGCUCUAAUCUUUUCAUUCACUUUUCAAGCAUAGUAUCUGACAACAACAACAACAACAACAGCAAAAGCAACAACUACUGCAGCAAUAACAGCAGCCACAAUGACUACCGCGACACCAACAAAAACAACAGCAGCAGCAGCCACAACAUAUGCUUACUGGGUAAACUGCCAAAAUAUACCAUUUUUCAAGUGGAUAUCAGAAUAGUGUAUCCAAUAUUUUACUAAUCUUUUUGGCACUGUCACAUAUUUAGACUGUUAUAAAUCAGAUUUGCAUUCA
Molecule: long non-coding RNA, 625 nt
Organism: Octopus bimaculoides (California two-spot octopus)
Lineage: Eukaryota; Metazoa; Mollusca; Cephalopoda; Octopoda; Octopodidae
Source: RefSeq, a predicted model, not a curated record